This 253-nucleotide ribosomal RNA is filed under the name uncultured bacterium. Its description in RNAcentral is "partial 16S ribosomal RNA". It matches the Rfam family "Bacterial small subunit ribosomal RNA", at positions 524 to 776 of the family's 1533-position model. The record is from RNAcentral.
UACAGGGGGGGCAAGCGUUGUUCGGAAUUACUGGGCGUAAAGGGUCUGUAGGUGGCUUGCUAAGUCAGACGUGAAAUCCCUCAGCUUAACUGGGGAACUGCGUCUGAUACUGGCGAGCUUGAGUGCAGGAGAGGAACGCGGAAUUCCAGGUGUAGCGGUGAAAUGCCUAGAUAUCUGGAGGAACACCGGUGGCGAAGGCGGCGUUCUGGACUGCAACUGACACUGAGAGACGAAAGCCAGGGGAGCAAACGGG